Podarcis lilfordi (Lilford's wall lizard) is the source of this 89-nucleotide non-coding RNA. The record is from the annotation of a GenBank genome assembly. Lineage: Eukaryota; Metazoa; Chordata; Lepidosauria; Squamata; Lacertidae.
AGGGGCGCUGCGCAGUUCUCCCUCUCUGCGCAGCGCCUCCCCUGCGAAGGAGAGGCGCUGCGCAGAGAGGGAAAACUAUGCAGCACCCC